AUUGAACGCUGGCGGCAGGCCUAACACAUGCAAGUCGAGCGGAUGAAGGGAGCUUGCUCCUGGAUUCAGCGGCGGACGGGUGAGUAAUGCCUAGGAAUCUGCCUGGUAGUGGGGGAUAACGUCCGGAAACGGGCGCUAAUACCGCAUACAUCCUGAGGGAGAAAGUGGGGGAUCUUCGGACCUCACGCUAUCAGAUGAGCCAAGGUCGGAUUAGCUAGUUGGUGGGGUAAAGGCCUACCAAGGCGACGAUCCGUAACUGGUCUGAGAGGAUGAUCAGUCACACUGGAACUGAGACACGGUCCAGACUCCUACGGGAGGCAGCAGUGGGGAAUAUUGGACAAAGGGCGAAAGCCUGAUCCAGCCAUGCCGCGUGUGUGAAGAAGGUCUUCGGAUUGUAAAGCACUUUAAGUUGGGAGGAAGGGCAGUAAGUUAAUACCUUGCUGUUUUGACGUUACCAACAGAAUAAGCACCGGCUAACUUCGUG
This 484-nucleotide ribosomal RNA is filed under the name uncultured bacterium. Its description in RNAcentral is "partial 16S ribosomal RNA". It matches the Rfam family "Bacterial small subunit ribosomal RNA", at positions 30 to 507 of the family's 1533-position model. The record is from RNAcentral.